CUCGUAGGCGGUUUGUCGCGUCGGGAGUGAAAACGCCGGGCUUAACUCGGUGCUUGCUUUCGAUACGGGCAGACUAGAGGCAUGCAGGGGAGAACGGAAUUCCUGGUGUAGCGGUGAAAUGCGCAGAUAUCAGGAGGAACACCGGUGGCGAAGGCGGUUCUCUGGGCAUGUCCUGACGCUGAGGAGCGAAAGUGUGGGGAGCGAACA
RNAcentral lists this ribosomal RNA (207 nucleotides) under uncultured bacterium. Its description in RNAcentral is "partial 16S ribosomal RNA". It matches the Rfam family "Bacterial small subunit ribosomal RNA", at positions 568 to 774 of the family's 1533-position model. The record is from RNAcentral.